AUGCAGCGGAUUAACCAAGUGUCAUUGAUAUGUGUAUAUCGGCAGUGCACGGAGGCACGCGGAUGUGUGCGAAUGAGAAGCUACAGUACCUGUGUUAGCGCAUCAACAAUAAAGCUCAUUGUUGCGAUAAGCCAGGCGUGGUUAUUACAACAUUACACGGUUGAAAUUGAUAAUUUAAUUGUUCUUCCCCAAAACCCUCUGUUAUCUGACCAUUUCUUAUUAACUUUUGAAUUUAGCAUAAUUGACCUUACAAUAGCUGGAAAGAAAUGUUACUAUAGCAGAUGUUUAUGUGACAACGCUGUUGCCAGAUUUAAGCAGAUGAUUCCAUCAUCUUUUGCCUCAAUGUGUUGUAGAUACACAGAGAACAGUCACCUUAAUCCUUAUGAACAGGUUGACUGUCUUGUAGAUGAUGCUGCAGCUUCUCUACGUACAAUGUUAGACACAGUGGCUCCUCUGAAGAAGAAGGCAGUGAAUCAGAGGAGGUUAGCUCCGUGGUAUAACUCAGAGAUCCGCAGCCUAAAGCACAGGACCAGACAACUAGAAAGACAGUGGCGUUCCAACAAAAUAAAUGUAAACUGCACUGCAUGGAAGGAGAGUCUAAUAGAAUAUAAAAAAGCACUUUGUGCUGCUAGAAAAACAUAUUAUUCCUCCCUAAAUGAGGAAAACAAAAACAACCCCAGGUUUCUUUUCAGCACUGUAGCCAGGCUGACUAAGAGUCAUAGCUGUGUUGAGUCUACUAUCCCCUUAAAUCUCAGCAGCAAUGACUUUAUGAACUACUUUACUAAUAAAAUUAUCACCAUUAGAAAAGACACUCAGCAGCAACUUCUUCCAAAUGACAGAAAGCACUGUCUAGAUCCAUCAACUUUAAAUUUACCAAAUCCUCUGUCUUACCUAGACAGCUUCUUCCCCAUAACUCAUAUGGAGUCAACCUUAAUAAUCAACUCUUUUAGAUCCAAUCCUAACCAGAUUACUGAAAGAAGUUCUACCUUUAAUCAGCUCAUCCAUAUUAAAUCAAAUCAACCAAUCUUUACAUUUAGGCUAUGUCCCACAGGCUUUUAA
This 1059-nucleotide long non-coding RNA is filed under the name Betta splendens (Siamese fighting fish). Its description in RNAcentral is "lncRNA (ENSBSLG00000003866.1)". The record is from RNAcentral. Lineage: Eukaryota; Metazoa; Chordata; Actinopteri; Anabantiformes; Osphronemidae.